GACGAACGCUGGCGGCGUGCUUAACACAUGCAAGUCGAACGGAAAGGCCCUGCUUUUGUGGGGUGCUCGAGUGGCGAACGGGUGAGUAACACGUGAGUAACCUGCCCUUGACUUUGGGAUAACUUCAGGAAACUGGGGCUAAUACCGGAUAGGAGCUCCUGCUGCAUGGUGGGGGGUGGAAAGGUUCGGCGGUGGGGGAUGGACUCGCGGCUUAUCAGCUUGUUGGUGGGGUAGUGGCUUACCAAGGCUUUGACGGGUAGCCGGCCUGAGAGGGUGACCGGCCACAUUGGGACUGAGAUACGGCCCAGACUCCUACGGGAGGCAGCAGUGGGGAAUAUUGCACAAUGGGCGGAAGCCUGAUGAAGCAACGCCGCGUGCGGGAUGACGGCCUUCGGGUUGUAAACCGCUUUCGCCUGUGACGAAGCGUGAGUGACGGUAAUGGGUAAAGAAGCACCGGCUAACUACGUG
RNAcentral lists this ribosomal RNA (468 nucleotides) under uncultured bacterium. RNAcentral's name for it is "partial 16S ribosomal RNA". It matches the Rfam family "Bacterial small subunit ribosomal RNA", at positions 28 to 507 of the family's 1533-position model. The record is from RNAcentral.